UGGCGGUUUACUUCUCCCUGGUUUUCAUGCCCAAAUCGCACUCUGCUGCCCUUGAAAAGGCCUAAGGCUUGGACAGGUCAGCUCACGGAAAAACAGUUUAUUUGAUGCCAAAGUUAGAUAAGGGAGAUGUCAGGGAAGAUGCGAGUUUUGUAUUAUCUUCAAGCUGCUCCACUGUGUUUCUCUGUGAUGUGACUUUCCUCAACACAGAAGAAGCAACCGCUCUCUUCAAAGAAGGUUGAAGUCUGGAUCUGGUGCUGCUGGAAAAGAUUGGCAACUGGAAAGUGCUCCUGAUGAAGAACUAGAACCUGGAAGGAAAUCUUCCCUGGCUCCCAAUUCAACUUCUUUUGAAAAAGGAGAAGUGCCAAGCUCCUGACAUCUCAGCUUACCUGUAUCUAACUUUCAAACCUUGAGUCAUGGAACCUCGACUGCCUCUACAGAAAAGCACAACAUGAACUACAUCUUUCCAGUCCAUAAAAGCCAAGAAGAUGAGGCAACAGUGACUUGUUAACUAAUAAACCUGGGGAGAGAUGGCUGUGGCUUAACCUGAUCCUUCCAACAUACAGUGUAUUUUUAACUUUAGCAUAGACCGAAGAAGUACAACUACAGUUAAGCAGUAUCUUGCUCAUAUAAUGAACCAGUAGCAAGAAAAACUAGGUUUUAAGUUGGCUCCUUUUCACAUGGGGGAAAUUUGUUUCCCUUCUGUUGGAAGCAGUGGCACAGAAUAUAGAAGCACUUAAUUCAGCUUAAAAGGGCUAUGUGAGCCAUUGAGAUCAGCCUGCUGCUGUCUGUACCAAAGUUAACUGGGCAACUCUUCUGCUAGCUCAGCUGUGAAAACAAGAGCAGCUAUUGACAUGCAAUGGCUGACAGCAUCUACCCUGGCUAAAACGUGGGAAGAUUCUCUAGUCAUGCACUACUAGACCUUGUUCUUUCAGGACAGAUUAUAUGACAUUAUACCGAAGGUGGUGGGUAUCUUGAUUUAUCCAGUCGUGCUUAAAAUUGCAGUAAGAGAUUCUGCUUAAAACCAAAUUUAGCUGCCUUUCUUAAAUUAAGGAUACUACCAAAGUACACUCACAUUAAAGAAAAAAAAAUAAAAUC
Molecule: long non-coding RNA, 1095 nt
Organism: Falco peregrinus (peregrine falcon)
Lineage: Eukaryota; Metazoa; Chordata; Aves; Falconiformes; Falconidae
Exons: 4
Source: RefSeq, a predicted model, not a curated record